UUUUAAAAAUUUUAUUUCUUUGUAGUUUUAAAAGAUGGUAUAACUAACAGAAUAACCAGAUAGUGACACAUGGUAUGUCACGUGUAUUACAUGCUGAUAUAUAAAGACCCAUUUUUUAGUAUAAAAAAUGAAUGAAAUUUUCAAAA
Gossypium raimondii (Peruvian cotton) is the source of this 146-nucleotide non-coding RNA. The record is from Rfam. Lineage: Eukaryota; Viridiplantae; Streptophyta; Magnoliopsida; Malvales; Malvaceae.